GAAAUGAAAAUUAUAUUUAAAGUAUAAUUUUAUUUUUAUUUUAGAAAAGGGACGGUACCCGAUUAUCAUUCCUCAAAGACGAUCAAAAGAACGUACAAUGUGCCUACCAGAGAUAAAUACUCCACAAACGGAGAUGUAUGGGCCACGGAUCUCCGCCUAACGGCAGCAACCUCGGUCCUUGCUCACCAGCAUACGAACAACGGUAAAUAACAAAGUCACCAGAACAAAAUAAGCAAGAAGUGCUGAAACACGACUAAAAACUAGCCAUGGACAUUUAGGUCCUUAUUGGAAACACCACUAGGCUAGUCUCAUGGCCUUGGGACCAGUGGGAGAUCGACUAGGGUAGCAAAUCCUUUUCCUGGACUGGCCUUUUUUUAAAGCCUUCCUGUCGCCAUUUACCUCUGUCUCCAUUGGGUCCAAAGAUGACUCUACACAUCGACGACGUUUGAGGUCUCAAUCCUGUUCCUCGCUUGCAAUACCUGGAGCACCAUGCACGAUGAUUGUAUACUGCGGAGGAGGGGGUAUUUGCUGGUGUAGAGCUCCUAGUUGAGUGAUUCGACUUCGAUUUCGGUUUAGGCUUGUUGCAGUUUUUCAGGCUCCAUUGUUAAGCCUUCUGAGCUUGAGCUUCCUUCCACGUUAGUUCCUUAAUAGAAUUUUCCUAGUGAAAAGGGAAGUUGAUCUCCGGGUAUUGAAAUGGAAGUGCACAUUUCUUUUCAACGUGUCCCAUCAAUCCACAGACAAAGCAGAAAACAGGUAAGCAUUCAUACUUAUACUGAUAAGUAAUAGUCUUACUGUCGUGCAUAUUAACGUCUCGUUCCUUCAAAAGAGGUCCUCCAACAUCUAGAGCGACCCGAAGCCUCAUGAAAACAUUAGGAAGAACUUUCGGUUAUUUUCAUUGUAGCCUUUGUAGAUGCCAGUCGAGCUCGCCAAUUCUUGUCUGACUGAAUCUGCAAAGUAUUCGAAUGGCACGUUGUGGACUUGCAACCAUAACUCCACGGUAACCUGCUGUGGUUCGUCCCCCCCCACUCAUCUCAUGGAGCAUCAGGUUGUGGUUGUCAGCGAAUUAGGGACCGAAAUCCAUCACAUGACAAACGUCUAGUGGGUGUGCGAAGCAAAAUACGAAGCGCCUAUCUUCCAGAGUCAUGAUCUCGACACCGGAUUCCGGCAGCCACGUGUUGACCAGGCUCCGCCGUACUGGGGAUACAUUGAUAUGUUUUUUUCGAAGAAAAGACCAAACAAUGCAGUGUUUGUAUGCCCAUGACGCUGGUUUCGGCACCACCGUGGCGAGGGAUAGCGCAGCAACCGAUGGGAUUAGGAUCUCUGGACCUGUCUUCGUAUCCGUCGGGUCCCUUGUCGAUUGUCUCUCAGGCUCAGUCGACGUUGGAGAUGUCCCAUACGAAAGUGGAGAUGGUAGUCGCUGUACUGGAGGCUGCGACUCGAAUCCCGAAGGCCCUGACGAUAACCUGCCGAGAGUGGUGGUGCAACAGAGACCAGCGGU
RNAcentral lists this long non-coding RNA (1498 nucleotides) under Linum usitatissimum (flax). RNAcentral's name for it is "long non-coding RNA (LUSI_LNC003707)". The record is from RNAcentral. Lineage: Eukaryota; Viridiplantae; Streptophyta; Magnoliopsida; Malpighiales; Linaceae.